Molecule: RNA transcript, 8240 nt
Organism: Cavia porcellus (domestic guinea pig)
Lineage: Eukaryota; Metazoa; Chordata; Mammalia; Rodentia; Caviidae
Gene: Snx19
Gene name: sorting nexin 19
Exons: 10
Source: RefSeq, a predicted model, not a curated record
GCUUUGGGGGACCGAGGCCUCCUGAGCCGCCUGAGCCUGCGUCGUUGCGGGCCGAAGCCGUGGGUGGGGUCACCAAUGUGUCCGGUCCGGGCCGAGCUGGGCGCGAAGGCCCGGGCGACAUGCGCCACUUCCCCGGCCGCCGCUGACCGCGAGCGCGAGCGUCUCGGCACCGCCCUCCGCGCUCCCGGGGCGCCGCCGCGCUGCGCUGCGGCUCGGCCUUUCCCCCGCUGGCGCCGGCUGGCGGAGGGCGCUGGGGACGGCGCCCGGCGGGAACGGACUGCCGCUGUCGCUUUGUAGUACCUGUGGGACGCCGACAGCCCCGAGCCCCGGUCAUUCUGAUAUCAGCACAGAAGCCCAUUCCCUCCUGUCAGGAUCGCAGUCCAUUCCUCCUUCCUUGCCACUGAAGUGAGUUUGAAAAAGACUGACCUCCGGAGACCUUCCUUCUUUCAGCCAUGAAGACAGAGACCGGGCUUCCCACCCAGGAGACGCAAGCGGAGUCCAGCUGUCACCCCAGUAAUCUAUGGAGUGGCCGGAAGCUGAUGGUUGUGGGGGUCUUGCUCGGCUGGCUCCUGGUCAUCCACCUCCUGGUCAACGUGUGGCUUCUGUGCCUUCUCUCUGCGUUGUUCGUGGUGCUGGGAGGAUGGCUAGGCUCCGGUGCCAUUGUAGGGGCUUCGGGUCGACUGCACCUGGAACGCUUCAUCUCGGUGCCCUCCUGCCCUCCGUGUCCCGAAGCAGAAAGACAGCUGGACCUCCUGAUCAACCGCACUAUCCAGAUGAUUACUCGUGAUUUUGUGUUAUCCUGGUAUCACUCAGUGAGCCAGGAGUCAGCCUUUAAGGAAGAGAUAGAAGCGGCCAUGAAGGGGUUGGUACAGGAGCUUCGGAGGAGAAUGGGCAUGGUGGACAGCCGUGCUCUCACCCAGACGGUUCUGACCCUCUGCGGUUGUCACCUGCAAAGCUAUAUUCAGGCAAAGGAGGCCACUGAAGGGAAGCAGAGUGGUCCAGUUCCACCUUCUGAGCUCUGGGAGGCAUAUUGCCGGGCUACUGCCCCCCACCCUGCUCUGCAUAACCCUACCACCGAGGUCACAUAUACCCGUAGCGUUGUGAAUUUGUUACUUAAAGGUCUGGUACCCAAGCCCCACUUGGAUACUAGGACUGGACGGCAUGUAGUGGUCGAACUCAUUACUUGCAAUGUAAUCUUACCACUGAUCAACAAGUUGUCAGAUCCUGAUUGGAUCCACCUUAUACUUGUAAGUAUCUUUUCCAGGGCCAGAAAUGAUCUCAAACAAGCAACUAAACCAUUAUGCACCCCUGGUGAUCUGGAGCAGCCCUCCGUGCCCACAUCACUGCCACUGAUUCUAGAAGUGGACAGUCUACCAGAAGGGAGAGCCCCCUCUCCUGGAGCAGCUACAUCGCUUCUGAACUCCAGUGAAGCCGGCCCCUCCCCUGAGAUUGAAGAAGGUCAUGAAGCUAUAGAGGCAGAUUUGGGUGGAAUGCUUGAAGAAAGAAAAGUAGGAAACAACUCAUCUCAUUUUCUACAUCCAAAUAUCCGAGGCCCCUUGUUCUUAUGUGAAGACUCAGAGCUGGAGUCUCCCCUCUCUGAACUGGGUAAAGAAACUAUCAUGCUAAUGACUCCGGGCAACUUCCUGUCUCACAGAAUCCAGGAUGCCUUGUGUGCCCUAGAAGAGUCUCAGGUUUUGGAGCCUAAGGAUAGUGAGGGAUCUGAGGGCACUGAAGGAGCAGAAGCUGAGGAGGUUCCAGGGACAGAAACAGAGUCAGGUCUGCUGGAGUCCAUGCUAAAUUCCUGCCCAGAAAUCCAGAUUGACAGUGUAGAAAAGGAAGUAGAACCGGAUGUUACCGCUCUGACAGCUUUACCAGAGACACCAGAAAAAACCUGCCCCCCACGACCCUCGUGCCUAGAGAAGGAUCUCACUGAUGCUGUGAGUUCCCUGGAUCCUACUUUGCCACAGGUUUCACUUUCUUCCUCUCCAACUGGGCCUCUCAGCUCAGGCACCUUCAGCUUUGAGCCCCUGAGCAGUCCAGAUGGACCGGUUGUCAUCCAGAACCUUCGUAUUACUGGCACCAUCACCGCCCGAGAGCACAGUGGCACUGGAUUCCACCCAUACACACUCUAUACUGUGAAGUACGAGACCGCCCUGCACAGUAGUGAGGGCAGCAGUGGCCUGCAGCAGCUGGCCUACCACACCGUGAACCGCCGCUACCGGGAGUUCUUGAACCUGCAGACCCGUCUGGAGGAGAAACCAGAUCUGCGGAAGUUCAUCAAAAAUGUAAAGGGUCCAAAAAAGCUCUUUCCAGAUCUUCCUUUUGGAAACAUGGACAGUGACAGAGUAGAAGCCCGGAAAAGCCUCCUGGAAUCAUUCCUGAAGCAACUCUGUGCCAUUCCUGAGAUUGCUAACAGUGAGGAGGUACAGGAGUUCCUUGCUCUGAACACUGAUGCUCGUAUCGCCUUUGUGAAGAAACCGUUCAUGGUGUCUCGGAUAGACAAGAUGGUGGUGAGUGCCAUUGUGGACACAUUGAAGACCGCAUUUCCUCGCUCUGAGCCCCAGAGCCCCACGGAGGAGCUGAGUGAGGCCGAGAAUGAGAGCAAGCCACAGACAGAAGGCAAGAAGGCCAGCAAGUCCAGACUGAGGUUCUCAUCCAGCAAAAUUGCGCCAGCCCUGACUGUGACAGAAGCACAUGACAGGAUUCUCUAUUGCCUCCAGGAAAGCCAUGUGGGGUCAGAGAUCCUGUCCAUGUCCGGAAUGGAAUCGUUUAUUAAAAAGCAGACAAAAGUACUGGAAAUGCAGGCAGCAGGAGCCCCAGAACAAAUCCCCAAGGGACAUGUGGACAGUUGCUUGCCCAGUGCAACUGUUGCAGCCCAACACCUGAGCAGCAAUGACUCAGGAACGGAGACCGAGUUAGCGGACAUAGCCCUGGAUCUGAUCCUCUUGCUCGUGAUGCAGCAGUGGAAAUGGCUGUGCACUGAAAACAUGCAGAAAUGUCUCCGCCUUGUCUUCGGAACCCUUGUUCAGAGGGAGUGUUACUCUUCACUGGCAGUAUUUACCACCGUGACAAUAAACGGGGAAUGACAAGAGAAACAGAUUAAAGGUUGUUUUCUCCAAUAGAAGAAUAAAUAUUCACAAAUGAAGAAGCGCUUGGUGAUACAAGGUGUGAAAGCCAGAAAGAAGUUUGGAUUUACAACUUGGCUUUUAUAAUUCAAGCUUUGUGAUUCCAACACAACUUGAUCUCCUGGAAGAUUUAUAUACAGAUAAGUUUUUAACUGCUGACUUCCCAAUCACAGAAUGGCUGUCAGCUUUGCUAAACUAAAAAAGAACUGAGACACUGUCUGUGAACCAGAGACACAUGGAGUGCUUAAGUUUUAUCUACUUGAUCUCUGCCUUAUGAGACAUCCUGGCAGUAAGAAGCCAAAUGCUGACAUGUCCAUAUCAUGUGGUUCACUCCAGAGAACAUGAAGGUUGCUCCAAAAAAUCUUUUUACAGAACCACGCCAUUAUCUAUUGUAUACCACGUAGAAACUCCCUGAAGAAUCUGUUCCCUCUCAGCAUGCUCAGAGUUGCAUUGAAUUAGUAAGGCUCAUAGAGACGCAGGGAAAGAGACACAUAUUUGUGUCUGCCAGUGCCUAGUACCUGGCCCCAGCUACAUAUUUUCCAUAGUGAUCAAGUGGAGUAGGCAGCCCCAUUUUACAGAAUAAGAAAACAGAGCUUAGCAAAUGAUGUGCCCAAGGUCACGCUGACAUACAAGAAGCUUUAAACUGGAUUUAUGUGACCCCAAAGCAGUCUGCUUUUCCCUGUAUGUUAGUCACCUGGUGAGGCCCAUGUGUGAGAUGCUGGCUGAUCUCUGUACCAUUAGGCUUUCCCUGUUGCCCCUUCUUCAUACUCAGCUCUGCCACCAGGGAGCUUUUUUUGAAAAACUACUUCUGUACUCAGAUUUCCCAAUGGCACUGUGCUGCCUAGAACAGUCUCGGGGUUCUAAAGUCCCAUGGAGGUACUUCAAGGACCUGUCUUAGAAACAGGAAGACCAUGACCCAGCUAAAGCAGUUCGCUUUGAUCAAGGAUCAAGGCAAGGUUUUGUUUGUAAAAGGGCUCACUGUGUUUUAAAUACACAGUUAGAGCCUGAGAUGUAGUUCAGUGAUAGAGCUUAAGUGUAGCAUGCAUAAGGCCCUGGGUUCAAUCUUGAACACAAAAAAAGCUUAGAAAUACAUUUGCUAUUUAUAUUUAAAUUUGUUGCUACUUACCUAGCAUGAUCUGGCCCCAGUUUUAUUUCUGUUCUCCCCUGCAAACUGUCAUUCAUUGCCUGAGUGGUCUCUUUCCUCGAGGCAUUUGCUUAUCUUCUUAUCUCUGCCUGAAUGAAAUUUCUCUCCUCAUUUUCCUGCUCUCCUACUCGGACCCUAAUUGCCCCCAUUUUCAUGUGUUUAACCUAGUACUAAAUAUUUCUCAGUAAUCAUGAGAAGUCAUUUAUUCUGUGCAGUUUUCUAUGGUAUCCUCUCCCGCUUUCGUAGAACUAAGGAACCUUCUUUGCUACCAAAGUUUUAGCACUAACUCUUGCCUCACAGGUAUUGUGUAAAUUAUCUGCUUCCCCACACCAGUGGUUCUCAACUAGCAGUCACCUGCAUCUUCCUAGUGACUUAGGCAGUAUCUGGGGAAUCCAGGGUCGUAGCUGGGAGCAGGAGAGGAGAUUCCCAGUGGCAUCCAGUGUGUGUGGGAAGAUGCUGCCUACCAUCCUGUGCUACUCGGGACAGCUCUGUCCCUUCCCCUAAACAGUCAUGAAGGAACAUUCCCAAAGUGACAGAAGCCCUCCUUUAAGGGCCCGAACUAGCGUUGUGUCCUCAGCACAUUGUACAAGACCUGGGCAGACAGAGAGUCAGUAAGUAUUUGAUAAAGGCAUAAACAUUUCCUUUCUUAGUAUCUUUAUAUUGAAAAUAUGUUCCCUUAUGUUUUAUUCAGCCAUCUAUGAGUGUUGCUUAUUUGGCCUUCACUUCUCUUCUCCCUCUAUUAAGCUUCCCUUUGCUGGUCUUUCAAGUGCUUUAAAAAAUGGAAAGAUUCCAGAUAUUGAUCACUGAUGUCUCCCUCUCCUUUAAAAUCAUUUGCGUGAGGACUCAAUUUCAGAAAACACAAAAUUAUUCCAUAGGUACAUAGAAGCAUAGGAGAAAUUCAAGAGAGAGUGAGCUCCACUUUAAGAAGGUAGGAGAGGUUUAUCUACAGUUUGAAUAACGUGAAUAUUAAAGGGCCUAGGUCAGUUCAGAGGGCCUCUGCGUCUCGCCUGGCGAGGAUCUUCGGAAAUCCAAGCAGGAGGGUGAACUGAAAAGGAAACAGGCCCCGUGGACCCUGUAGGUGUGGGCGAGAGCUUCAGGGCUCAGAUGUGGGCUGGGAAACUGCCCGUCGUGCUGCAGUAGCUCAGUGAAGGGUGAGUGGGAUGGAAAGAAGCACUUGGGCCCUGGUCUGAGCUGCCUUUUAACUUGGUGGUAGAAAUUCGUUCAAGCUGUUUCAUGGCAUUCGUCAUACUUUGUCUGGAAGUACUUAUCUCUCUAUCCAGUUGAAGAUUUCUUUUGGCCUUACCAUUUUAUUCAUUGAAAGAAAUUUUCCUGAGGACCGGUUAGUGCUGAACAAAGCAGACAUGGUUCCUGCUUACAUGUAUCUUACAAUCUAAUGAAGAUGAACACUAAAUCUAGGACCUUACCCGUGGUCACAGGCCAACUAGUGAUGGGGCCAGCGUUCAAGCCCAGGUGUUCCAAAGCCCAAGGUACAACUACCACUGUAGAUGGCUGUUCUGUAUUUAAAUUCUCUGAGCUUGGGUUUCCUCAUCUGAACAUAGAAUCAGUAAUACUGUUUUUCUUUAGAUGUAUUACAAGGUUUCCAGUAAAUGUUGGGUCUUCAGAAAAAUUUCCUCUUCAGUGAAGGAAAGGAAGACUGAAAUGUGUGUUUGGUCUCUUCUUCCUCUACUAUUGGCUCCAGAUGAACUCGGUUUUUAGUCUUCAGGACGUUCCACCCUCUACCAGUCGCCGACUGCCUGCUGCCACUGUUUCUUGUGUGCCUGUCUGAGCUACUCAGGAUGGACCUUCUAGACGUGACGGCUUGGCUUUAUAAGGACUGUCGAGAUGAUUCUGUAGCUUAGUCUUACGUAUGAAGACAACAUGUCUAGGCCACGCAAAGACAGGGUUUGUGGAGAUUACUUCAUGCACAUGUUAGGCACAUUGUAGCAUCUAUAAUCACUUGCAAAGCCCGAGGAAGAGGCAUUGUGAUUCCCCACUUACCAUGUGAGGAAGCUAAAGCUUUCAAAGAAUUGAGAGUUUUACAUCCUGAUUACAGAGCUCCUAAAUAUUACAGUACAUGUAGAAUCUGAACCCAGAUUUCUCUCACUUUGGCUCUGAUGAUUCUCCAACUUUGAAGGCUCAGCCCUGUGCCCAGUAGUUUGGAGGGAUAAAAGCUAACUGAAAACUCUUCGGUUCAGAGCAGCAGACUUUCCCCAGGAAGAGACUACCAGAUAUUUAGAAUCCAGGUUGCAUCCCCAUCUCUACACACUGACAUAGCAAAAAAGGCACUGCCACCCCCAAAAGUCAGCUACAUUCUAUCCCUGGGCAGCCUGCGAUUUUUAUUUUUAAGGUACAGUUUAUGCAGUGCCAGUGUUUGACUUUGUUUGCUGUAGUAAGCAAAUAAGCCGGGAACUUGAUAGGAGCAGUGGUACCCUCCCUGCUGCACCCCCUGCCCCUCCACCUGGGUGGGUACGAAAUGAGGUCCAGUGUCCCCAUGCCUUUGUGACAGCUGCUUGAGAGGCCGCAUGUUUGUUCUCUCUGAAACUGCAGGGACCUGAGCCACAUCCUUUGAUGGGCACUUAGACUUUCUGCCUUUGAGUUCUGUGUUUUAUGUAGCAAGGUCAUGGGUGCUGGUUCCACAGGUGGCUGCAGCCAUUUCUCUAGUUAUUCUGAACACAAUGUGGUCUGGGCAUCAGGAAUGAUUCAGCCACCUAGAAUUAGGAGCACCACCUCCUGCAAAUGCCCUUAUUUUCCAACCUCCAGCAUUAUUUCUCCAGGAAGGCAUUUAUUUCUUCUGCUUCCAGUUUCUUUUACUCGCUCUGUUUCCUUAAAAGACCUGUGUACAUAACUGCCUUGGACUCUGAGGACCUCUGCCAGGUUACAGGCAUGCUGUCUCCAGUCUGCAGGGGUGGAGAGGGAGAAAUAAAUUCAACUUCGUGACCCCCUUUUCUCAGCUAAGGUCGGAGGCUUCUGAUCUAAGCCAGGCUUAUAAAUCUCUCAUGACUGUUCAUGGUGUGGAAGGAGUUGAGGAGGGGAGCACAUGAGAAGUUAGAUGCCCAAAAAAGGCAUUGUUAAGUCAAAGGCAAGUCCUGCACGCAUGCGUGCCCAACCUCGUGUGUCAACUUCUGUGCUGGGAACAUACCAUUAUGUAACAUGGAGACCUCCUUAUUUGGGAGGGGAAAGGGAGUUAGUGUAGCAGUGUGAGCUCAGGAGGGAAUCUAGCUUGUGCAAACUGCUCACAUCUGAAAACAGAAAACUUGACAGUAUCCCUGCAAGCCUCACAGUCAGGGUUAGGGAAACUGCUCUGAGCUAGUCUGGGUUGCAGGGAAGGAGGAGAGAUGUAUUAUGCUCCAUUGAUGAUAGAAGGUUUGGGUCAGAAGGAUGCAGCCAAGGAGAACCUCGGGUUCCUCAACAGUUCUGAGGGACGAGCAGCACAAAUGGAAUCAGAACCCCAUGUCCCUUUCCUACAGAGCAUCUCCCAUCUGAUCAUCUGCCCAGCUCCAGUUCCCAGAGCCGUGGUUGGACCUAAGCACGAGGUUUCUCCUGACACCUUCUCCUGAAGCACCCCAGCUCCGCUGAGCUUGCCCUCUUUGCAAGCUGUCCUGCUGCUACACCCUUCAGACCACUGCCUUCCCAUGGGGCAGCAAGACUCCUUGAGCCUUGAGGUCAGAUCCAAAUCCGAAUCCUGCAAGAUGCACUUUCUCGGUGACCUGGAUAAGUUACUCAGUCUGCCUUUGCCGCUCAGCCUCCUCUCGGUCUUCUUUGCCUCACUCGUGGAGCUGAGGGAUGAAAGAUGGUUAGGCAGUAAAUAUCGGGGAGUAUUUAUAGAGUAAGGUAUGUAUUUAGAGCCAGCGCUUACGACAGGUAUCCUUUAAACUGAUUUAGGCUGAAGGAUAUUCCAGGCAACACAACAUACUUAAAAGAGUAAGAGAGCAUUAUGUCACUUUUUAAAUAAAAAGCAACCUUUGGACAUA